CAGAGCUAGCAGCAGCCGGUGAUUCCAGC
RNAcentral lists this non-coding RNA (29 nucleotides) under Mus musculus (house mouse). The record is from RNAcentral. Lineage: Eukaryota; Metazoa; Chordata; Mammalia; Rodentia; Muridae.